Heteronotia binoei (common prickly gecko) is the source of this 265-nucleotide long non-coding RNA. RefSeq lists it as uncharacterized. The transcript is spliced from 3 exons. The record is from RefSeq and is a predicted model, not a curated record. Lineage: Eukaryota; Metazoa; Chordata; Lepidosauria; Squamata; Gekkonidae.
CUCGGAGACGUUGGCAGAAGCACACGGAAGAAGAAUGCUGGCUUUUUAGGUACAGACAUGAAUGUUGCGGAAGUGGCGAGCUUGUUGCUACGGACAGAAGAAAAGUUCUCAGCGUACCUGGCAAGGAUCAACAGCGUCAUCCUUACUCCCCUGUUGCAGUCAGGCUCUUUUGAGCAUCUGGAUCUUUUCUUGCUGUUGAACGACCAUUUCCACAUUCUCUGGGACUUGACGGAAGAGUGCACCCGAACCUUGAAGCAAACCGUUG